UAAGCCAACGUGUAGCUUCUGAGCUCCAUUUAAAUACGGUGUAUAAAAAUAGAAAUAAGAAAUUGUUAGCUAAACUAUGUGUUCAUUAGCUGCGUUUUACCACACUAGCUACUAGAUUAGGCUGAUAUUAAAAAAAGAAACAUAUUCUAAGUAGCUAGCCAUCUAGCUAAUACUGUAGUUAGCUAACUGGCUUGUUAGUCACUCGAAGCAACUUGCUAUAGUUUGCAUCUCCACAUCAUGAACACAGGUCCAAGAUCAGUUCUACGUGUUACAUGGCUCUGAUUGUGGUACAUGCUAUGGUUUGUGUGCAGAACCCAGACCUGUUAGAGCUUGUGCUGUAGUUUAUCAGAUUGAUCUAGCUAGCAAUAUGGCUAGUCCUGGCAGGUCUCCCAAAAAAUCGUUUACAAAAAUUUGAGACCCUUCAGACUGGUCUAUGGGGGGCCAAUACAGUCAAAAACCACAAUUCAUGGCGGACGCUGAUGAAGCAUGGGUUGAAGAGUUAUACAAGCUUGGUUAUAAACCCAUCCUGCUUCUGGGAAAGGAGACCAGGAAGGGUAAUCAGAAGUGGGUAGCUGAAAUGGUGACUGCCUUGGUGACUUGGCACCCUGCCAGAGACCCCCCACCCCCUCCCCAGUGGACCCACAGUGACCUUCCUUUCAUCUGAGGCCUGGCAAGUGAAUCCACAGUGACCUCCCCUCCAUCUGAGGCCCAGGCCAGUGAACCCAUAGUGACCUCCCCUCCAUCUGAGGCCCAGGCCAGUGAACCCAUAGUGACCUUCCCUCCAUCUGAGGCCCAGGCCAGUGAAACCACAGUGACCUUCCCUCCAUCUGAAGCCCAGGCCAGUGAACCCACACUGACCGCCCCUCCUUCUGGGCCACUGGCCAGUGAACCUGCCAAGACAUCAACAUCCCAAGACAGCAGUGGGUGUGGACUUUUAUUAUUUAUGUAAACUGUGAUCAGUACAUUUAUUCUCCUGAAGUACAGUUGUGAGGCCAGAUUUUGAUAACCGGUUGAUAUAAUCAACACUUAUGUUUUUUUUUUUUUUUCUUUAGCUCCACUAGGCACAGAAAUGAAUAAACAUGCUGUGUUUGUAGGGGUGGCAUGUAGCAGCAUGGUAGUGUAGUUUAGUAUUGUGUCAGGUUUUUGAGCUGUUUAAUUUAUUGUUUGAAUAGUUUUUUAUUAGUUAUUAUUUUUUAGCUAUUAUGAGUUAUUAUUUUUUCAAGGCUAAGAACUUCAUGUGGAGACAGUUGUGAAGCACAGAGUUAGGGAGGUUAGUCAGAACUAAAUGUAAGGGAAGAACAUUGAUUUAACUUUGAUCCAAUAAGCAGGUGAAGGGUAUUUUCUUUAAAUACUACUAAUACACAUAUAUACAGUGCAUUGAGAAAGUAUUUGCCCCAGUCUGAUUUUCUGAAUUCUUGGAUAUGUCAUUUUGUGGGUUGUAUAUACACUGUGUGCACAAUUAUUAGGCACAUCAUAUUUCGCAAGAUUUAUUUUAUUGUAG
Esox lucius (northern pike) is the source of this 1501-nucleotide long non-coding RNA. RefSeq lists it as uncharacterized. NCBI's taxonomy places the organism in Eukaryota, Metazoa, Chordata, Actinopteri, Esociformes, Esocidae. The transcript is spliced from 3 exons. The record is from RefSeq and is a predicted model, not a curated record.